AGAGUUUGAUCCUGGCUCACAUUGAACGCUGGCGGUAUGCUUAACACAUGCAAGUCCAACGGCAGCAUGAUAUGUAGCAAUACAUAUUGAUGGCGAGUGGCGGACGGGUGAGUAACACGUAGGAAUCUGCCCUAGAGAGGGGGAUAACCCGAGGAAACUCGGGCUAAUACCGCAUAAUCUCGAGAGAGCAAAGGCUAAGUAGUAAUAUCUGGUGCUUUAGGAGGAGCCUGCGUCUGAUUAGCUAGUUGGUGGGGUAAAGGCCUACCAAGGCGAUGAUCAGUAGCUGGUCUGAGAGGAUGAUCAGCCACAUUGGGACUGAGACACGGCCCAAACUCCUACGGGAGGCAGCAGUGGGGAAUAUUGGACAAUGGGGGCAACCCUGAUCCAGCAAUACCGCGUGUGUGAAGAAGGCCUUCGGGUUGUAAAGCACUUUAGGUUGGGAAGAAGGCGUAUAGUUUAAGAGAUGAUACGUUUGACGGUACCAACAGAAUAAGCACCGGCUAACUCUGUGCCAGCAGCCGCGGUAAUACAGAGGGUGCAAGCGUUAAUCGGAAUUACUGGGCGUAAAGGGCGCGUGGGUUGUUUGUUAAGUGAGAUGUGAAAUCCCUGGGCUUAACCUACGAAUUGCAUCUUAAACUGAUGAACUAGAGUACUGUAGAGGGUAGUGGAAUUUCCGGUGUAGCGGUGAAAUGCGUAGAUAUCGGAAGGAACACCAGUGGCGAAUGCGGCUACCUGGACAGAUACUGACACUGAGGCGCGAGAGCGUGGGGAGCAAACAGGAUUAU
Molecule: ribosomal RNA, 785 nt
Filed under: uncultured soil bacterium
Lineage: Bacteria
Description: bacterial SSU rRNA
Rfam family: Bacterial small subunit ribosomal RNA
Source: RNAcentral